Molecule: ribosomal RNA, 505 nt
Filed under: uncultured bacterium
Lineage: Bacteria
Description: partial 16S ribosomal RNA
Rfam family: Bacterial small subunit ribosomal RNA
Source: RNAcentral
GACGAACGCUGGCGGCGUGCCUAAUACAUGCAAGUAGAACGCACAGUUUAUACCGUAGCUUGCUACACCAUAAACUGUGAGUUGCGAACGGGUGAGUAACGCGUAGGUAACCUGCCUGGUAGCGGGGGAUAACUAUUGGAAACGAUAGCUAAUACCGCAUAAUAUUAAUUAUUGCAUGAUAAUUGAUUGAAAGAUGCAAUUGCAUCACUACCAGAUGGACCUGCGUUGUAUUAGCUAGUAGGUGAGGUAACGGCUCACCUAGGCGACGAUACAUAGCCGACCUGCGAUGGUGAUCGGCCACACUGGGACUGAGACACGCCCCAGCCUCCUACGGGAGGCAGCAGUAGGGAUUCUUCGGCAAUGGACGAAAGUCUGACCGAGCAACGCCGCGUGCGUGAAGAAGGUUUUCGGGUCGUAAAGCUCUGUUGUAAGAGAAGAACGGGUGUGAGAGUGGAAAGUUCACACUGUGACGGUAUCUUACCAGAAAGGGACGGCUAACUACGUG